Molecule: ribosomal RNA, 345 nt
Filed under: uncultured fungus
Lineage: Eukaryota; Fungi
Description: eukaryotic LSU rRNA
Rfam family: 5.8S ribosomal RNA (bases 1-71)
Source: RNAcentral
GUGAGUCAUCGAAUCUUUGAACGCACCUUGCACUCUCUGGUAUUCCGGAGAGUACGCCUGUUUGAGUGUCAUGAAACUCUCACUCCCUACCUUUUCUUAAUUGAGAAGGAAGGGACGUGGACUUGGACUCUGCUGGUCUUUACGAUCGGCUUGUCUGAAAUGAAUUAGCUGGAUCCUCUUUGUAAUUGGUUCUACUCGACGUGAUAAGUAUUUCGUCGAGGACAGUCUUAACGGACUGGCCGAGAGAAGAAGAGUCUUUUAGAUCCGCUUCUAAUCCGUACGACUUUAUGUCUACACUUUUUAUGAUCUGGCCUCAAAUCAGGUGGGACUACCCGCUGAACUUAA